GAUAGCUCAGCGGUAGAGCAGUUGACUGUUAAUCAAUUGGUCGCAGGUUCGAAUCCUGCUC
Molecule: transfer RNA, 61 nt
Filed under: marine eukaryotic metagenome
Rfam family: tRNA
About the family: Transfer RNA (tRNA) molecules are approximately 80 nucleotides in length.
Source: RNAcentral